GAAAUGCGAUACUUGGUGUGAAUUGCAGGAUCCCGCGAACCACCGAGUCUUUGAACGCAAGUUGCGCCCGGAGCCUUCUGGCCGAGGGCACGUCUGCCUGGGCGUCACGCAUCGCUGCCCCCACCACACAACUCUCCCCAUGCGGGGUCGUUGUGAAGGCAGGGACACACACUGGCCUCCCGUACGCACCGUCGUGCGGAUGGCUUAAAUUCGAGUCCUCGAUGCUCGUCGUCGCGACACUACGGUGGUUGAUUCAACCUCGGUGACGCGUCUCGACCUCGACGUCGACUUCACGGACUCCUUCACGACCCUUCGAACGCCGCCCCUUGAAAGGACGACGCUCUCGACGCGACCCCAGGUCAGGCGGGACUACCCGCUGAGUUUAA
Molecule: unclassified non-coding RNA, 386 nt
Filed under: uncultured fungus
Lineage: Eukaryota; Fungi
Description: sequence contains ITS1
Rfam family: 5.8S ribosomal RNA (bases 1-107)
Source: RNAcentral